AAAAAACUUUGAUCUUUCAAACAAAAAGCCAGGUCGACCAAACUGUUCAUCAUAUGCUAGAUAGAUAUAGAUGCUCUUGUGAAUAUGUGAUUGAUCCUAAAUAACUAGAAUGUAGUGCUUUUACUAUUGUUUUACAUGAUAGGUAUCUGUAUAAUUCUUAAUGCAAGAUCUAAAAUUUCUUCCAUGAUUUUGUUAAAAUUUAUAAUGAUAUUUAAGUAGGAGAAAACAACAAGAGAAGGAUUUAUGUGGUUCGAGAAUAAGUUCAUGGACACGAACUUCAAAAAGACUAUAUACAUGAUAUAUAUAUAGAAUGCUAUCACUAAAUUAUAAAUGACUCUUUAAGAUUUUGCAAAUCAAUCUCAUAAUUUUCUCGUAAUCAUAAGAUUCUUCACUGAGACGUACCUCAUGCAUUAAGAAAAAAUCUCAUCAAUUCCAGCACUUCCCAACUUCCUGAUUGAUGAAGCAUUCUUUCCACUCUUCCCACAUUGUCCUUGCACAUAUUGCUGAUAUUGCAUUCAUUGAUGUGAAGCCAGGGUGGAAGAAGGGAACAAAGAUUACUUUCCCAGAUAAAGGGAAUGAGCAGCUGAAUCAGCUUCCAGCAGACCUCGUGUUCAUCAUUGAUGAGAAACCCCACAAUACCUACAAGAGAGAUGGCAACGACCUCAUCAUAAACCAAAGGGUGGCAUUAGCAGAAGCAAUAGGAGGGACUACAGUAAAUCUCACUACACUUGAUGGUCGUAGCCUGUCUAUUCCAGUACACGAUAUAGUUAGCCCUGGUUAUGAGCUCGUCAUUACCAGUGAAGGUAUGCCAAUCGCUAAGGAGCCAGGCAAUAGGGGCGAUUUAAGGAUAAAAUUUGAAGUGAAGUUCCCAACAAGAUUGACACCAGAGCAACGAGCAGGACUCAAGAGAGCCUUGGGGGGUUGAAGAUUGACGGAACCAUUAUAUGUAUUAGCCACUAGUAUGUGAUAGACUUGGAGGCCAAAUCUGUCUUUUGACCUCACCAAUCUUAUAGAUAUAAGUCUUUUAAUCUGGGAGGAGAUGGCAUAUUAAAAAUGGGGCAUGGCUAAUUGUCUUCCUUACAUUUGUAUGCACCAUUUUAGUUCAACAAUAGCAAAUACAAUACUAGACUACAAUUAUAUUAUGCUUUUUGUGAGGCAUUUUUUAGGGAAGGGUUUGCCCAUGUCUAAUGUAUCAUUAUGUUUUCCCCUAUUGUUAGAUAAUUUUUUACCAGGUUGUUAUUUUCAUUGCUUCUUGCCAAGGAACACGUUCGCUAAAAAUGCUCGUCUUAUUCUUUUUCUCUUCUGAACUAUUUCUCUCAGCCUAAGGCAAGUGUAAAGCUUUUCUAUUACUGUAAUUGAAUGAAAAAAAGGACAACUGAGUUCAUCGUUAAACAGUUA
This 1398-nucleotide unclassified non-coding RNA is filed under the name Hevea brasiliensis (rubber tree). The record is from RNAcentral. Lineage: Eukaryota; Viridiplantae; Streptophyta; Magnoliopsida; Malpighiales; Euphorbiaceae.